CUACAGCUCACCUUGAGAAGAGCUUUCCUGAACUUCUCUUUCCCUGACAGCUUGUCAAGGAAGUCGUAAUAGAAUUUCAUGUGGAAGGUCAGUCCAUCAAUGUGGAGCACUCCAAUGUCCUUGAAGACAACGGCAACGUUCUCCCCAUUCUUCAGGCAGCCAGAGAGCAGGGACACGGUGCUUUGGAUGCAAGCCUGCGCUGUCUGCCAGGUCACAGAGGCAGCUGCGGCCACCUCGCUGCUCUUGAGCGGCUCCAGCUUCCUAUGGGCUGAAAAAUGGGAGGGACGGAGUUGAUGAUACGGGACUCCCUGCGGGGCUUGAGGUGGUGCACGGCUAUGAGGUUUCCAGACAAGUGAAAGACGGGCCAUCGCAGAGUCACGGUCCCGUCCUCAGUCCUGAUGUCUCUGGAGAUGGUGUCAAAGGAUCCGAAGCACAGCAGUCAGGGCAGAAGCAGCCUGAUGGGAUCCAGAGGCUUCCCGCGAGCGGGAUCAGCCCUGAGACAGGACAGCGCCCAGCACAAGUGAUCCUGCGGGAUUUGCAGGAAGCCCAUGGCAUGCCCAGUAGAGACGCGUGGGGUGAGUUUCCUGCUUUCUGUGGAGGGGAAGAGUGGGAGGAAGUCUUGGCUGAGGCGGACAGGGAGAGGAGGAACCCGGCAGCCA
Molecule: long non-coding RNA, 659 nt
Filed under: Gallus gallus (chicken)
Lineage: Eukaryota; Metazoa; Chordata; Aves; Galliformes; Phasianidae
Description: lncRNA (ENSGALG00010000095.1)
Source: RNAcentral